Molecule: unclassified non-coding RNA, 219 nt
Filed under: plant metagenome
Description: partial contains small subunit ribosomal RNA and internal transcribed spacer 1
Rfam family: Eukaryotic small subunit ribosomal RNA (bases 1-46)
Source: RNAcentral
AAGUCGUAACAAGGUUUCCGUAGGUGAACCUGCGGAAGGAUCAUUAAUGAAAGUCUGGGGUCUUUACCGACCCUCUCUCUUCUACACACUUGUGAACCUUACCCUUCUCUGUCAGGUUCUUUGGAAACGGCCCUCGGGCUCGGACAUUGACCCGACGGAGAGUAUUUCAAAAACACAUUCUUUAUGUCUGAUUCUUGUUUUAAACAAAACUAAAUAAAA